CCUGCUUCGUCAUUUUAUGCUUAUUAUUUGAAUUAAAAACGUCAGUGUGGAGCAUCAUCAAAGAAAACACCAGAAUGUAACACUGAUCUUGGGAACUGAACAUCCCAGGGUUACAUUCAAAAUAGCGCUUAGAGAAUGCAUUGAUGACACGAUCAAUCUGUUGAGUUUCCUUAGGAAGGUGAGAUUUAAGUAAAAAUAACCGCAAGCAAAAAUCCAACGGCCGAUUUUCAAACUCCAUUCCCGACAUACAAAGGUGCAGAGCUUUGUUCAAUGUUACAUGAUCCUUUUCUGCUAGAACAGGGAUCAUACGACUAUAAGGAACUGUCUCUCUAAGCUUUGAGAGAUAACUCUCCGCAGUAUCAUCUGCUGUGAGCUCCGGAACAGAAGAAAGAAACUUGGUCGGAUUAGGCUUAAUAUCAGAAAAUAAAGCCGAAUUUUCAAUAGUCUGAGCUACGCAUUCGUCAUCAUCCCGGCGCAAAGUUCGAAAACUAAAAAUACUAGAACGGUUUUCUCUCAAUCUUUCUAAAGUCCUUUGGGUAGGAAUCGUAGAACUACGAGGCCGUGACCGAGAGCUUUGUGGCUGUGGUUGUUCAACAUCAUUAGGAAUAGAAGGCGAACGAUACAACCGGAGGGAACCCACAGAAGAAGAAGGUGAUGGAACGUUAGAAGUCUGAUCGCUUUUAUCAACUGGCUUAAUGUAAUCAGAAGAUAUGGAAAACUGGAUAGGAGGUCUUUUUACUACAGGUAAAGAAGCAAUGCGUUUCCCCAGGUCGGACAUUUUGACACUACUUUUCCGAGUACCAUUCUGUAAAAUCGUAUUAUCAGAUUCCGCUGACAAAUUCUCAUUUUGCUGGUUUAGAGGGCCACCAGCUUUAUCGAGAGAACCAACUUCAGAAGGAGAACUAGUAGUUGAGUUAACAUCGGGAUUCCAGGACUUCCUAGACCACUUCGGAAAUCGAAAAAAUGAUCGAGAAGCACGAAGUUUCGCCGAGUUGAUACUAGAUGGUGAUUUCAAAGAAGGAUUGGAACCGCUUAGGUCUGUCGAAAUAGGAGACGUGACAUCUUUUGGAAAAUUGGAAUCGUUUGAAACGCUUUGACUUGAAUACGAUGCAACAGGAGAAUUUGCUUGCUGCAAAUCCGAAGACCAGUUGUGGUUGAAGUAAAACGAGUGCUUGGCUCUUGCGAUCGGAUAAAAAAUAUUUUUUUUCUUAGAAGAGGGCGAAUUACUCAAGUCGGUCUGUGAAUUACUUGUGAAAGAUCCGCUUGACUUUAGUUUACUGUUAUGCUCAUUUAGUUUUUCUGAACGUUUGGACAGAUAUGUCUGACUAGACUUUUUAAAGAAAGAGGAGAAACUAGAAGCGUUAGGAGAAUUUACAGUGGUAUCCUUUUCGGAUUUAUUUGAAGACUCCUGGCUGGAAGGAAUUCUGAAGGUCAUUUCGCGCCUCGGCGCAUGUAAGUUGAAGAAAAAGAAAGACUUAAAAAAGAUUGAAGUAAAGAGAGACCUCGAAAAUGAAAGGAAGAUUCAAAAAGAAAUGUAAUGUAAACUUAAGUCAGGAUCUAAAUUUAUAACAAUUGGAGACAGUAGAUAGAUUUGUCGACUAUACGAGGAUAAAACUGACUGUAAUAAGGAGAAAGCAACCAACGUAUUACCUUUAAUGAACAGAUAUUUUUUCCCGAAUAAUCAAAAGAAAAAUCAAUUGAGAAACUACCGAAGCGAACGAACAAGGGAAAAACAAUUAGUGAUUAAUAUAAUGCAUGCAGCAUGGAAUGAAAUGAAAUGAAUGAAAAGUAAUGAACUGGAAGGUAUGGAAGAUGAAAAAUGGUUAUGAACAAAGAACGAGAAACUGAAACGAAGAUGUAAAAGUGAAACUUCUGUGAGACGGUUCAAAUGAAUCGAAAUUUUUUAAAAAAAAAAGCACAAAAACCAAGUGUGAUCUGAUUUAGGCAGCGCAGAGCAAACCGAAUAAGCAAAGCAACGAAAGUAAAAUGAACUCUAGUAAUUUGAAACCCUCAAUGGAAAUACGAACACAAAAUUAAUGAGCAAAAGUCAUGUCCUUGGGUUGAUAGCAGGAAAUUUAAUGAAUCGUCAAUUGCUAACCAAUUCAACUAAUUAAUUUCCCUAGAAUUUUAAUAAUGAGUACAAGUUUUGGUGCUCCAGAAAAAAGAAUUGAAAAGUAAAUACUAGUUUUGUUGGUUACAGUAGUGUUAUUUGCUCCGUCCACAACAUGCCCGUGUCUUUAUCGCCCAAUGCAUACAAACCCGCCCACCGCAAGGUAUUCUGCCACACCCUUCCUCGUAUGACCAAAUCCGACAUGGUCUGAUAGAAACGUAGAUAGCAAAUGGCUAGCACGAUGUUCCUGAUAAUCUAAUGGGGCAAAUGGCACCAUAAUGUAGUUUAUUUUUUUAUUUCUAAUGUCAAUGAUUUAGAAAAAUUUAGUUCGCUAUCGCAAGUGCUUAAGAUACACUACUUCAAAAUUAUAAACAUAACAAAUAUUUUUAACAAGCUCAGCUGAACAUGUUUCUAGGUUGCACCCUUUACUCAUUAUAAU
This 2549-nucleotide long non-coding RNA is filed under the name Schizosaccharomyces pombe (fission yeast). The record is from RNAcentral. Lineage: Eukaryota; Fungi; Ascomycota; Schizosaccharomycetes; Schizosaccharomycetales; Schizosaccharomycetaceae.